UAGGGAAUCUUCCGCAAUGGGCGAAAGCCUGACGGAGCAACGCCGCGUGAGUGAUGAAGGUCUUCGGAUCGUAAAACUCUGUUAUUAGGGAAGAACAAAUGUGUAAGUAACUAUGCACGUCUUGACGGUACCUAAUCAGAAAGCCACGGCUAACUACGUGCCAGCAGCCGCGGUAAUACGUAGGUGGCAAGCGUUAUCCGGAAUUAUUGGGCGUAAAGCGCGCGUAGGCGGUUUUUUAAGUCUGAUGUGAAAGCCCGCGGCUCAACCGUGGAGGGUCAUUGGAAACUGGAAAACUUGAGUGCAGAAGAGGAAAGUGGAAUUCCAUGUGUAGCGGUGAAAUGCGCAGAGAUAUGGAGGAACACCAGUGGCGAAGGCGACUUUCUGGUCUGUAACUGACGCUGAUGUGCGAAAGCGUGGGGAUCAAACAGGAUUAGAUACCCUGGUAGUCCACGCCGUAAACGAUGAGUGCUAAGUGUUAGGGGGUUUCCGCCCCUUAGUGCUGCAGCUAACGCAUUAAGCACUCCGCCUGGGGAGUACGACCGCAAGGUUG
RNAcentral lists this ribosomal RNA (550 nucleotides) under uncultured bacterium. RNAcentral's name for it is "bacterial SSU rRNA". It matches the Rfam family "Bacterial small subunit ribosomal RNA", at positions 355 to 896 of the family's 1533-position model. The record is from RNAcentral.